This 2894-nucleotide ribosomal RNA is filed under the name Stenotrophomonas sp. pho. RNAcentral describes it as "23S ribosomal RNA". It matches the Rfam family "Bacterial large subunit ribosomal RNA". Lineage: Bacteria; Pseudomonadati; Pseudomonadota; Gammaproteobacteria; Lysobacterales; Lysobacteraceae. The record is from RNAcentral.
GUUAUAUGGUCAAGCGAAUAAGCGCACACGGUGGAUGCCUUGGCGGUCAGAGGCGAUGAAGGACGUGGCAGCCUGCGAAAAGUAUCGGGGAGCUGGCAACAAGCUUUGAUCCGGUAAUGUCCGAAUGGGGAAACCCACCCGCUUGCGGGUAUCCUGCAGUGAAUACAUAGCUGCUGGAAGCGAACCUGGUGAACUGAAAUAUCUAAGUAACCAGAGGAAAAGAAAUCAACCGAGAUUCCGUAAGUAGCGACGAGCGAACGCGGACUAGCCCUUAAGCUGAUUUGGUUCUAGGAAAACGCUCUGGAAAGAGCGGCCAUAGAAGGUGAUAGCCCUGUAUCUGAAAGGGCCAUUUCAGUGAAGACGAGUAGGGCGGGGCACGUGAAACCCUGUCUGAACAUGGGGGACCAUCCUCCAAGGCUAAAUACUACUGACCGACCGAUAGUGAACCAGUACCGUGAGGGAAAGGCGAAAAGAACCCCGGAGAGGGGAGUGAAAUAGAACCUGAAACCGUGUGCGUACAAGCAGUAGGAGCUCCGCAAGGAGUGACUGCGUACCUUUUGUAUAAUGGGUCAGCGACUUACUGUUCGUGGCAAGCUUAACCGUAUAGGGGAGGCGAAGGGAAACCGAGUCUGAUAAGGGCGCAUAGUCGCGGGCAGUAGACCCGAAACCGGGUGAUCUAGUCAUGCCCAGGGUGAAGGUGCGGUAACACGCACUGGAGGCCCGAACCCACUCCCGUUGCAAAGGUAGGGGAUGAGGUGUGAUUAGGAGUGAAAAGCUAAUCGAACCCGGAGAUAGCUGGUUCUCCUCGAAAGCUAUUUAGGUAGCGCCUCAUAUGUAUCCUCUCGGGGUAGAGCACUGUUAUGGCUAGGGGGUCAUCGCGACUUACCAAACCAUUGCAAACUCCGAAUACCGAGACGGACUGUAUGGGAGACACACGGCGGGUGCUAACGUCCGUCGUGAAAAGGGAAACAACCCAGACCCACAGCUAAGGUCCCAAAUUUUGUGCUAAGUGGAAAACCAUGUGGAAAGGCACAGACAGCCAGGAGGUUGGCUUAGAAGCAGCCACCCUUUAAAGAAAGCGUAAUAGCUCACUGGUCGAGUCGGUCUGCGGGAAGAUUUAACGGGGCUAAGCACAGAACCGAAGCUUGGGGUGCAUAACUUUGUUAUGCGCGGUAGAGGAGCGUUCCGUAAGCCGUUGAAGGUGGAUUGAGAAGUCUGCUGGAGGUAUCGGAAGUGCGAAUGCUGACAUGAGUAACGAUAAUGCGGGUGAAAAACCCGCACGCCGAAAGCCCAAGGUUUCCUUGCGCAACGUUAAUCGGCGCAGGGUGAGUCGGCCCCUAAGGCGAGGACGAAAGUCGUAGUCGAUGGGAAGCAGGUUAAUAUUCCUGCACCUCGCGUAAGUGCGAUGGAGGGACGGAGAAGGUUAGGUGUACCAGGCGUUGGUUGUCCUGGGGAAAGGCGGUAGGUUUGGAUCUUUGGCAAAUCCGGGAUCCUCUAAGACCGAGCACCGAGACGAGCCUUUAUGGCAAAGUCACUGAUACCACGCUUCCAGGAAAAGCUCCUAAGCUUCAGCUUACGCAGACCGUACCGUAAACCGACACAGGUGGGUAGGAUGAGAAUUCUCAGGCGCUUGAGAGAACUCGGGUGAAGGAACUAGGCAACAUGGCACCGUAACUUCGGGAGAAGGUGCACCCUUUUUGGUGGCUCGUGCGAGCUAUAGCUGAAGAGGGUCGCAGUAACCAGGCCGCUGCGACUGUUUAUCAAAAACACAGCACUCUGCAAACACGAAAGUGGACGUAUAGGGUGUGACGCCUGCCCGGUGCUGGAAGGUUAAUUGAUGGGGUCAGCCGCAAGGCGAAGCUCUUGAUCGAAGCCCCAGUAAACGGCGGCCGUAACUAUAACGGUCCUAAGGUAGCGAAAUUCCUUGUCGGGUAAGUUCCGACCUGCACGAAUGGCGUAACGACAGCGGCGCUGUCUCCACCCGAGACUCAGUGAAAUUGAAAUCGCUGUGAAGAUGCAGCGUUCCCGUGGCAAGACGGAAAGACCCCGUGAACCUUUACUAUAGCUUUACACUGAACGUUGAGUUCGUCUGUGUAGGAUAGGUGGGAGGCUAUGAAACCAUGGCGCUAGCUGUGGUGGAGCCAUCCUUGAAAUACCACCCUGUCGUGCUUGACGUUCUAACCUGGGCCCAUUAUCUGGGUCGGGGACCGUGUAUGGUGGGUAGUUUGACUGGGGCGGUCUCCUCCUAAAGAGUAACGGAGGAGCUCGAAGGUACGCUCAGCGCGGUCGGACAUCGCGCACUGUGUGCAAAGGCAUAAGCGUGCUUGACUGCAAGAUCGACGGAUCAAGCAGGUAGGAAACUAGGACUUAGUGAUCCGGUGGUUCUGUAUGGAAGGGCCAUCGCUCAACGGAUAAAAGGUACUCCGGGGAUAACAGGCUGAUACCGCCCAAGAGUUCAUAUCGACGGCGGUGUUUGGCACCUCGAUGUCGGCUCAUCACAUCCUGGGGCUGUAGUCGGUCCCAAGGGUAUGGCUGUUCGCCAUUUAAAGUGGUACGCGAGCUGGGUUCAGAACGUCGUGAGACAGUUCGGUCCCUAUCUGCCAUGGGCGUUGGAGAUUUGAGAGGGGCUGCUCCUAGUACGAGAGGACCGGAGUGGACGAACCUCUGGUGUUCCGGUUGUCACGCCAGUGGCAUUGCCGGUAGCUAUGUUCGGAAGCGAUAACCGCUGAAAGCAUCUAAGCGGGAAGCGCGCCUCAAGAUGAGAUCUCCCGGGCACAAGCCCCCUGAAGGAACCAUGUAGACUACGUGGUUGAUAGGUCAGGUGUGUAAGUACAGCAAUGUAUUGAGCUAACUGAUACUAAUGAUCCGUGCGGCUUGACCAUAUAAACCUCAAG